Podarcis lilfordi (Lilford's wall lizard) is the source of this 71-nucleotide non-coding RNA. NCBI's taxonomy places the organism in Eukaryota, Metazoa, Chordata, Lepidosauria, Squamata, Lacertidae. The record is from the annotation of a GenBank genome assembly.
GGAGGUUAGCUUAGUGAUAGAACAUCUGCUUUGCAUGCAGAAGUCCUCAGGUUCAAUCUCCAGCAUCUCCA